This is a non-coding RNA of Malus domestica (apple), 527 nucleotides long. Lineage: Eukaryota; Viridiplantae; Streptophyta; Magnoliopsida; Rosales; Rosaceae. The record is from RefSeq and is a predicted model, not a curated record.
GCAACCUUUAAAGGGAAGGGAUACAUUCAGACCAAAAAAGAAAAAAAGAAGGGAUACAUCCAUUCUUUUCCCUGCUACAGUAUGAAUUCGUUGGUCAUUAGUGAAGCUGCAUGGUGUGGGAUGCAGAUAAAUGAACUGCAAAUGGUUACACCUCGCAGCCUGAGAUAUUUCAUCAGGAAACUCUGGUGUUUGAAUUUUGGGGCAUAAAUCCACCGAACAGAUAAUCAUUUUCCAGAGCUGACCGUAAGAGAAACAUUGGAUUUUACAGCUAGAUGUCAAGAUGCAAGUGAAGCCUAUGUAGGUGUGUUCUUGUUAAUUGCAAUUUCGUUACUUUCAAUGCGUAUAUAUUCUUAAUUCCAGCAAUUAUUUCAUGUACUCAAUCGAGCACUGUUGAUAUCCUUCCCCUGUUUUUGUCAAUUGUUUUAUGCUGUAGCAUACAUGAAUGAUUUGGUACGGUUAGAGAGGGAAAGGAAUAUAAGGCCGGAUCCAUAAAUUGAUGCAUUUAUGAAGAGUUUGCAAUUGGGGUG